AGAUUGAACGCUGGCGGAAUGCUUUACACAUGCAAGUCGAACGGCAGCACGGGGGCAACCCUGGUGGCGAGUGGCGAACGGGUGAGUAACACAUCGGAACGUGCCCAGUCGUGGGGGAUAACGUAGCGAAAGCUACGCUAAUACCGCAUACGAACUCUGGUUGAAAGCGGGGGACCUGCAAGGGCCUCGCGCGAUUGGAGCCGGCCGAUGGCAGUAUUACGGUAGUUGGUAGGGGUAAAGCUUCACCAAGCCGACGGAUCGUGUAGCUGGUCUGAGAGGACGACCAGCCACGACUGGGGACCUGA
This 305-nucleotide ribosomal RNA is filed under the name uncultured soil bacterium. RNAcentral's name for it is "bacterial SSU rRNA". It matches the Rfam family "Bacterial small subunit ribosomal RNA", at positions 26 to 322 of the family's 1533-position model. The record is from RNAcentral.